UCUUGUGUUAUUCUGUCAACCUUUAUUCCAGACACAAGAAACGUCCUUAGUAAAAAUGGAGACAAAACAAACGCGUAUCAAAAGAAAAAUAAAAGGUUCUAAAAAACACAGCAUAUGACGUUGUUCAUUGAGUCACAAAUUGACGACGAUGCCAGUGAUUCCACAGUCUGGAGCUCACCCAGCAGUGUUUUCCCCUUGUCAUCUUUGACUCUCUGUCCAUCAGAAAGAACAGAUCACAGUUUCCGCAUGCAGUCAUUUCAGCUGAAACAAAGCGGUAACACCCGGGCAGCAGGAUGUCAAGGACUGUGAGCC
Molecule: long non-coding RNA, 312 nt
Organism: Xiphophorus hellerii (green swordtail)
Lineage: Eukaryota; Metazoa; Chordata; Actinopteri; Cyprinodontiformes; Poeciliidae
Exons: 3
Source: RefSeq, a predicted model, not a curated record